ACUCCUACGGGAGGCAGCAGUGGGAAUAUUGCACAAUGGGGGAAACCCUGAUGCAGCCAUGCCGCGUGUAUGAAGAAGGCCCUCGGGUUGUAAAAGUACUUUCAGUGUGAGGAAGGUUGCGUGGUUAAUACCCACGUAAUUUGACGUUAGCCACAGAAGAAGCAACCGGCUAACUCCGUGCCAGCAGCCGCGGUAAUACGGAGGGUGCAAGCGUU
Molecule: ribosomal RNA, 215 nt
Filed under: uncultured bacterium
Lineage: Bacteria
Description: partial 16S ribosomal RNA
Rfam family: Bacterial small subunit ribosomal RNA
Source: RNAcentral